GGGUCUAGCUCAGUGGCAGAGUAUGUGCUUAGCAUGCACAAGGCCCUGGGCUCGACCCCCAGAACCUA
RNAcentral lists this transfer RNA (68 nucleotides) under Camelus bactrianus (Bactrian camel). It matches the Rfam family "tRNA". From Rfam's summary of the family: Transfer RNA (tRNA) molecules are approximately 80 nucleotides in length. Their secondary structure includes four short double-helical elements and three loops (D, anti-codon, and T loops). Lineage: Eukaryota; Metazoa; Chordata; Mammalia; Artiodactyla; Camelidae. The record is from Rfam by way of RNAcentral. RNAcentral also lists the same sequence under 2 other names.